This 440-nucleotide ribosomal RNA is filed under the name uncultured bacterium. RNAcentral describes it as "partial 16S ribosomal RNA". It matches the Rfam family "Bacterial small subunit ribosomal RNA", at positions 339 to 795 of the family's 1533-position model. The record is from RNAcentral.
CUACGGGGCGCUGCAGUGAGGAAUAUUGCACAAUGGGGGGAACCCUGAUGCAGCAACGCCGCGUGGAGGAUGACGCAUUUCGGUGUGUAAACUCCUUUUAUAUGUCAAGAAAAUGACGGUAGCAUAUGAAUAAGCACCGGCUAACUCCGUGCCACGCAGCCGCGGUAAUACCGAGGGUGCAAGCGUUACUCGGAAUCACUGGGCGUAAAGGACGCGUAGGCGGGUUGGAAAGUCAGGUGUGAAAUCCUACAGCUUAACUGUAGAACUGCACUUGAAACUUCUAAUCUAGAGUAUGGGAAGGGGAGAUGGAAUUAGUGGUGUAGGGGUAAAAUCCGUAGAUAUCACUAGGAAUACCUAAAGCGAAGGCGAUCUCCUGGAACAUUACUGACGCUAAGGCGUGAAAGCGUGGGGAGCAAACAGGAUUAGAUACCCCGGUAGUC